UACGGGGGGAGCAAGCGUUGUUCGGAUUUACUGGGCGUAAAGGGCGCGUAGGCGGCCAGCACAAGUCAGUUGUGAAAUCUCCGGGCUUAACUCGGAAAGGUCAACUGAUACUGUGCGGCUAGAGUGCAGAAGGGGCAACUGGAAUUCUCGGUGUAGCGGUGAAAUGCGUAGAUAUCGAGAGGAACACCGGCGGCGAAGGCGGCCAACUGGACAGAUACUGACGCUGAGACUCGAAAGCGUGGGGAGCAAACAGG
RNAcentral lists this ribosomal RNA (254 nucleotides) under uncultured bacterium. RNAcentral describes it as "partial 16S ribosomal RNA". It matches the Rfam family "Bacterial small subunit ribosomal RNA", at positions 524 to 776 of the family's 1533-position model. The record is from RNAcentral.